RNAcentral lists this ribosomal RNA (403 nucleotides) under uncultured bacterium. RNAcentral describes it as "partial 16S ribosomal RNA". It matches the Rfam family "Bacterial small subunit ribosomal RNA", at positions 30 to 526 of the family's 1533-position model. The record is from RNAcentral.
AUUGAACGCUGGCGGCAGGCCUAACACAUGCAAGUCGAGCGAGCGGCGGACGGGUGAGUAAUGUAUGGGGACUGCCCGAUAGAGGGGGAUAACUACUGGAAAAGGUGGCUAAUACCGCAUACUAUCGGAUAACCCAGAAGGGAUUAGCUAGUAGGUGGGGUAAAGGCUCACCUAGGCGACGAUGUCUAGCUGGGCUUAGAGGAUAAUUGGCCAAACGUGAACUGCUGCACGGCCCAGACUCCUACGGAGGCAGCAGUGGGGAAUAUUGCACAAUGGGUGCAAGCCUGAUGCAGCCAUGCCGCGUGUAGGAAGAAGGCCUUAGGGUUGUAAAGUACUUUCAGCGGGGAGGCGUUACCCGCAGAAGAAGCACCGGCUAACUCCGUGCCAGCAGCCGCGGUAAUAC